GGCGAAGUGUCCGAGUGGUUAUGGAGCUGUGUUAAGGCCGCAGUGCGAAAGCGCGUGGGUUCGAGUCCCACCUUCGUCA
Molecule: transfer RNA, 79 nt
Filed under: Tremella mesenterica
Lineage: Eukaryota; Fungi; Basidiomycota; Tremellomycetes; Tremellales; Tremellaceae
Also listed under: 1 other name
Rfam family: tRNA
About the family: Transfer RNA (tRNA) molecules are approximately 80 nucleotides in length.
Source: Rfam by way of RNAcentral